GUCCGGGAGUGGCGGCGGCCAAUCAGCGCGCAGCUUCCAUUUUGUGAGUUCAACUCCGAGGCUCCCGGGCUUCGCGAGGACGCGUUUGCAGCCCCCUCUGCCUUUCCUCUAGGGCAGCCGAAGCGCAGGAGCCGCCUCGCCGGGGCUCGGAGCUGGUGUAGCUCAUAUUGGGGCUCUUUUCGGGGUUUGUAAUUUGGCCGUGGGUAGGUAAUUGGCUGGAGCAGGGCGGCAGGGCGCGGCAGCCAAUCAGCGUGCGGCUUCUAUAGAGCUUGAGUUAUUAGACGCUGAUCUCAAAACAUCCUUCAUCAGACACGAAGGAGAGGCCAACAGAUGAGGGAAGCCAUUUUUCUGCAAUGGAAUUAAAUGGCCAAGUGGGUUUUUCCUUUGUUGCAAAUGGGGAAUGUUUUUCCUUUGACUCCACCAUCCAGUUCAGGACGUCUCAGUGUGUUUAACAUUUGUCAACAGGCCCAAGGACUCACAGUUGGAAGACUGGAGAAGACUUUUUAAAAAGAUCUGGAUUUUUCCUUAUGACUUGGAAUCCAUCUUUGUCUUGUAUAACUAGGUCAUAGCACACCAUUCAUGUCAGCAGUUAACAGUUUUGAAUUCCAAAAAAACCUAAAGCAGUAAACAGUCCUCUGCGAAGCCGCCUUUUUGCCUACCCAACCCUGGAAAGUUUGCAGAAGUGGAAGGAGCAGAACUUGCCAUGAGUGUAACUUACAAAAAGGUAACAAGAACAAAGGCACCACCAUAACCCCCCAAUUUUCCCAACUAAAUCAAAAAAUAUAUAUGUUUUUACAAUAACGUCUCCAAAACCACCGCCCAGCUUGAUCUUCUAGACUCCAUGGCACCGGGUUGAGCGGGUUCUGGGAUGGAGAAGGGGCAACGGUUGGGCACCCCCCGCGUGGACAAUCUUUCCUUCUGUCGACGGCAGGGGCAGGCCUAGUUUGACAACCCUCCCACUAAGGAAUUCCUGGUGACUGGAAGGGGAGUGACUCGGGUCCCCAACCUCCUGGAGGUAAGGGAGCUAGCUGCCUCUCUGGUGGGUGUGCCCAGCUCUUCAGCCGGCCCAGCUCAGCCCAGCCUCCAAGGAAGCUGCGAGCAGCUGGCUUGGCUCCGAGGUAUUUUUGGCUACAGAUCAGCCCCGCUCCAUCACCACGACAGGUGGGUCCAAAUCAAACAUACUCCAGGCAGGUGGGGCUGGGGUUCUGCCUGCCUCCUGGCCGGCAGGGGUGGGUGGGCUGGCUGGGGCCGGUGUCAGCUGUUCCGCCUGGGCCGGGCCGGGCCGGGCUGGGAAGGGCGCUUGUGCUCACUUCCCGCCUCCACUCCUCUGCAGGCUUGUGCUCUCAUAAGCAGAGAUCACAGCCCAUUUCCUGGAUGGAGAAAGUGGAUGUUGAGGUCUGAGGCUUUUGAGGACAGUCAGGAGCCCUCCUGUGGGCUCGGGUGACACACUCAACAGCUUCUGGGUCCUCUUCCUCCACCUCCAGGAGUGCCUUAUUUACCUCCUGUGGUCCUGGGGAACCUUGGCCCCAGCCGUGCCUCCCCAGCCAAUCACAGCUCCUCUGGUUACCCCAAAGGAGCUCAGGGUUCAGCUGGUGGUUGGGCUCCUCUCCUCCUGUCCCCCACUCCCGUGGAGCCUGGCAGGGAAGUCCUCCAUGAUUUGACCCCGGUUACCUUGACAACGCUGCCUGGCCUCCCUCAUGGCCCAGCCAGUGAAGAAGCUGAAGAGGUUUUCUAGCUGUCGUGCAUUUGUCAGUCCGGGUCCCCUCCCUGGGUCCCCUCCCUGUUUCCCUCUGCCUGCCCUCCAGUGCUGCCAAGCCGUGUGCCAACCAGCACUCAGCCUUCCCUAAACGGUUCCCCUCUUCCAACCUCCAUAUCUUCUCCCAAGACUGUGACCUCCUGGAAGGCUGGGGCACAACUGCCUCUGAAUAAAUGUGUUGCAAAAAAGGAACAAGUUGCUGUGCGUUUGUCUAGUGGGUGCUUGACCCAGGAGACGCCCCUUUGUCCAGUGACAGGAGGGCGUCCACCCAGAACCUGGGGUGGGUCCUGGCUUCCCCUUCCCAGCUCCGCCGUGGUCUUGGGAUUCUAUGGGCGGUCGCUGGUGCCCUCUGGCGGUCAGGCCGUGCCUUGCUUGUACCGGCUGAGAACCUUGACUCACGUGAAACUGCCAGGUUGGCGGUUUUCCUCCACGAAGUGAGAUUUACCUGACCUUUGCCGAGAUCUUGAAAACGGAGUCUUUGGGGUGAGAUUCUGAGUCCUGCCAGCCCCUAUCUGAAGAAACUACCGAAGGUCACUUGCCCCCAACCAUGCUGCUGUUGGGGUUUUGUUAGAAAUGGACUUUUCCUACCCCAGUUGGUAGAAUCCCACUCUCUCGGCCACGCUCCCGUGCCCACCUGCCGUGGACUGACUCCAGGGGUCCCUCUGCCACCCUGACCGCUCACUUGGCUGGUGCCGAAGGCAGUCAGCCCGCCCGGGGUGGGGAUUACGGUGACCUCAGCCAUCAGACCUGAUAGAAUUGCCUACAGUUAGUGCUCAACAAGCUGUUUCCAUCAGGAGAUGCGAGGGUUGAGGGGAUUCAUGGGGUGAAGGACGUGGCUGCUGGCAGGGAAACGCAUUUUCUUACAUUUCUUGGUGUGGGGUUAUCAGUCUCCAAAACGCCAGAAGGACCCAGCUGACUUCAACUAGAGCUAGACCAAUCUGCCCCUCCCUGACAGCUACUGGCGUGGUUCACGCUUCUGGCUCCUGCUGGAAGGAGGUGCCCGCCCACGUGGUUUGGGGCCAACCUGCGGCCGGCGUUGAGGCGAUUGUCCAGCAGAGGGCGCUGGGUGUCCACCCUACAGCCCGGGGUCGGGUGCGGUUAAGGGGAGCCCAGUCCCUCACCCCGAGCCCGCGCGCACGCCGGCGCCCCGGGGCGAGGUGAGGUGGGCAGACAGGACCCUCCCAUCAGCAUCUUCCCCGGUGCCACCGCCGCUACCUCCUGUGGGGAAACUGAGGCCAGAGGCAGAUAGGUGCGAAGCCACGCCGCUGGGGCAGUGCAAAGCUGAG
RNAcentral lists this long non-coding RNA (3042 nucleotides) under Aotus nancymaae (Ma's night monkey). RNAcentral's name for it is "lncRNA (ENSANAG00000038613.1)". The record is from RNAcentral. Lineage: Eukaryota; Metazoa; Chordata; Mammalia; Primates; Aotidae.